GAUGAACGCUGGCGGCGUGCCUAAUACAUGCAAGUCGAGCGAACGGACGAGAAGCUUGCUUCUCUGAUGUUAGCGGCGGACGGGUGAGUAACACGUGGAUAACCUACCUAUAAGACUGGGAUAACUUCGGGAAACCGUAGCUAAUACCGGAUAAUAUUUUGAACCGCAUGGUUCAAAAGUGAAAGACGGUCUUGCUGUCACUUAUAGAUGGAUCCGCGCUGCAUUAGCUAGUUGGUAAGGUAACGGCUUACCAAGGCAACGAUGCAUAGCCGACCUGAGAGGGUGAUCGGCCACACUGGAACUGAGACACGGUCCAGACUCCUACGGGAGGCAGCAGUAGGGAAUCUUCCACAAUGGGCGAAAGCCUGACGGAGCAACGCCGCGUGAGUGAUGAAGGUCUUCGGAUCGUAAAACUCUGUUAUUAGGGAAGAACAUAUGUGUAAGUAACUGUGCACAUCUUGACGGUACCUAAUCAGAAAGCCACGGCUAACUACGUG
This 497-nucleotide ribosomal RNA is filed under the name uncultured bacterium. Its description in RNAcentral is "partial 16S ribosomal RNA". It matches the Rfam family "Bacterial small subunit ribosomal RNA", at positions 28 to 507 of the family's 1533-position model. The record is from RNAcentral.